GGAUGAUUUCCCAUCACAUGUUCUUCGUUGCAUGGACAGCGGUACCAUGGACAGCUAAACGGGAAAUCGAUAUUGCUAACAAGGACACAAACAAAUGGUCCGGGACUCCACUGUUAAAUCUGCAGAGCAAAGAUAGGACCUGUCACACUCACAUGAUGCAAAGUUAAAAUGAUAUUCACCAUGUGAUGUACAAAAUACAAAGACGUGGCAACAGUGACAAUAGCAGAUGGUGGUGGAUGGGCAGUUUUUAAUCAACAAAAAAAUUAACAAAUCUAACUAUUUCUAAUAAAUCAUUUAGUCAAGAGGGACAUUUCAAAGCAAAAUGAUAUUCAUCUUCUGAUGUUAUGAUAGCCAUUUCCUGUGAAUGCGCUACAGUCGUAAACAAUGCACAUAUGAGUCAUGUAUAUUGUCAGAUUAAAGCUAAAUUAGUGAAAAAGUAUUACCAAUACCGGAGUAAACCCUCCAUGUUCAAGUUUAUACAACUACAUGUAUUAAGUGUGAACAAUGUUAAAGAACUUUGUAACUUGGGAAAAUUUAUUUGUGAAGCUUGUGAACUAAGAACAGUCUAUAAUAUGUAAUUUGUAUCGUCAUUCUCCUUUUUUACUAUCAUUAUACUAUUGUAUUGACAUCUGCUAGAUGUCUUUGUAAGAAUUGGCCGUUUAUUUUCAGCCUUGUAAUUAUUACCCAUGAUCAAUUUUGUUAUAAUGCUAUAAGAUGUACGUUUUUCGCAAUAAAGAAUUAUGGAAUCUUGAUAAAUAACAAUUAUAAUGUACGUCUAGGUUUUGUAAUGCUGAGUACGGCUGAACUUCCGACAGAAAAAUUUCUAUAAGAAAUGAAUUAAUUCUAGAAAACACAUAACGAGCUUCUUGAAGUAUGCCGAUGUGAGGAUUAGCGGUUCAUGCGCACUUGUACAUUUGUAUUUUCAUAAAUGAAAUCUAUUUCUUAUAAAUUCAUAAAACAUAUUAUCAAUUUGGUACAUAUUACGCUUUUUGUAAACUACUUUGCACUUUAUAAGCAUACUCUGCUGUAAAUUAUGUCAUAGCCUAAAAAUGAAUUUUGCCAUCAAAUUCAUUUAUAAAAGUAGAUAAAGCAUAUACAUUAUAAACAUAUAUACUAUGUUUCUAGGAAUGAAUAUCUACUAAGAUUGCAUAUUAUGGCGGACCAUAGGAGGCGUACUUUAUACAAAUCGGUAAAGAAGUUGUCCUAUGUUUCCCUCUUUUCUUUAAAAUCCCCAUUAUACCAACAACUUUCUCAUUCAUUCCUUAUACUUAUAAUUCUUGAUAUUAAAAAAAUGGUUGUUGUGUUGUUGUUUUUAAGUAUAGACCUUGACAGAAACAAUGCAAAAAAAAAUAAAUGUUUAAACACACAAAAACAAUGGCUAAUCUUUGUAUUUUAUCAAUUUUCUUGUAUUACAUGGUUACAACUACGGACAUGAAAAUUAUCAGGUCACAACAAAUAAUUAUUUAGAAAUAAUGUAAAAUCAUUGUUUUUAUGGAAUGGACAAAUCCACAAAAAGCAGGGGAAACUGAAAUACAAAGAUAAAAGAAUUACUCUCAACGUCCCAGUCUAGGGCUGAAACGAUACGCCCCCUUCAUGAUGCGAUACAUAUCGCAAUGAUUAUGCAGCGAUUCAAUAUUUUCAAUACGAUACAAUGUACAGAAGAAACCAAUAAUAACAUUGAAGAAAAAUUAAUUACCAACAUUCAUAAUCAUAAUUCUAAAAGCAAAAUGUUUCCAAACUGCCAAACGGUAAGAUGCCUGUUGGCUCUGUACUCUGCAGUUUAAACCGAUAAAGUUCAUUAUUGUUUUCGUCAAACUCAAGGCAAACAUCAGUCUGAAUGUUAUUGGACUCUAUGUUGUCCCUCAUGCAGGUAUGUUAGAUAAUAUUAAAGUACAGACCUGUCAAGUCUGAUGUAUUUUUUUUCUUUCUGAACGUGUUUGUAAUAAACGUAUCGAAAAUCAAGGCAAUAAAUCAAACAUUGAAUUGAGCAUUUAUAUUGAACAGUAUCGAUAUUUCGGUGAAUCGUUUCAGCCCUACGUCCCACCAACAUGCUUAUUUUUCUCAAAUCACGAAAAUUUGACAUUAGAAAAAUAAGUAUUCCUACAAUUAUAAAACGUUGAACAACUGUUGAAUAACCGAUCCCCGAAUUGAUGAAUUUCAUUUUACAGUGUGCAUUUUCAACAACAGAAAUGCUUUCAAAGUGUCUUUUAUCUAAUAAAGAAUUUUCCAAAAUCAUUUUUUUGCAAUACAAGCAGCAAUGUAAAAGUACAUGUGUAACUAAUCAGAAACAACGAUGUCAGUUCUUCAGCACAUUCAUACCUCUAUAUGGAGAUAAAUGAGAUUUCUCAUAUUAUCCAAUGGUAAAAAAACUACUAUAAAAACAUUUACAGAAUCACGUGGUUUAUUUAGAUAUCUAAUUAUAUUUUUUUAACAAUGUCGUUCGGCUCGAAUAGCCACAGUAUAGAUACAUGUAUAUUAAUUGUAUAUAUUGGCAGUAAUUCGUGAUCUUCGCGAACGUGUAAUUUCAUAUGACAAAGUUGUGCUAUAUAUUCGUCUUCAAACGUUCUUAAAAUUUAUAUCUCAGAUAAUAUCAAAGUCUGUUAAAUGGGAUAUACCGUAAUACACCGACGUUUUACUCGUCCUUCUCGCCAGGGAUAACGAGGUACUUUUUCACCAGGAGAUUUGAGAUAUUGAUUUUUGAUUCACGGAAUCAACAAAAAGCUUUUCAAUGCACAACUCAAAGAAACAUUUGAUAAAAUUUAAACAUUUCCCAAAGUUCUGUUCCCAGCCUACAUAUAUCGAAUCACUUGUGCUUUAUGUUUUCAGUUCGACGGUUUUUUUUUUUUUUUUUUGGUUUUUUUUAUUUGGUGUUCUUUUUCCAGUCUGUUUUCCUUAAACAAAAAUAUACGAACUAACUUCAUCUGAUUACGGGCUGUAUAAAAACCAGAAACGGACAAAGGGCAUCUGUUUUACCGAUGCUUCAUCUCUUUUGUAAGUGUAUUAUCUGAAACAUCUGUGGGAUUCUUUUGUAAGAAAGGGGUUUAUAAAUUACAAUCAGUAUGUUACACAAAUCAAUUGAUUCAUAGAUAUACCGAAUAUAAUUUCGUUUGAAAAAUACGCAUUUGUAACUUUCAAGAAGUAUGUUUAUUUUUAAUUAAUAAUAUACCCUAUUAUUAAUUAAUAAUGAAAUUAAUUAAUAAUAUACCUUAGAGGUUUGGUUUUCUGUGGUCAUAUCAGAAGCAUUUCACAUGGGAUGGUGCACAACUUUCUUACAUUGUAAUAUAUUUCAUUCGCUUUUCCCCCAUUCUCUCUUUAUUACUGUGAAAAUACAUGUACAAUGUAAAUUCAAUAAGGAUUUUACAAGGGCUGAGCUGAUUCUAAUUCAUUGUUGUUUAUACCCUCCCCCCCCUCUCUCUCUCUCUCUC
Long non-coding RNA from Ostrea edulis (European flat oyster), 3425 nucleotides. RefSeq lists it as uncharacterized. The record is from RefSeq and is a predicted model, not a curated record. The transcript has 2 exons. Lineage: Eukaryota; Metazoa; Mollusca; Bivalvia; Ostreida; Ostreidae.